RNAcentral lists this transfer RNA (67 nucleotides) under Thaparocleidus asoti. RNAcentral's name for it is "tRNA-Ser". The record is from RNAcentral. Lineage: Eukaryota; Metazoa; Platyhelminthes; Monogenea; Dactylogyridea; Ancylodiscoididae.
GUAAGUUUGAAGUUUUCGUUAAUGAUUUGAAAUCAUAAAUUAUUAUCCAUAGUAGAUAAGUCUUACU